CGAGCGAAGUUUUUCUGGUGCUUGCACUAGAAAAACUUAGCGGCGAACGGGUGAGUAACACGUAAAGAACCUGCCUCAUAGACGGGGACAACUAUUGGAAACGAUAGCUAAUACCGGAUAACAGCAUAAAUCGCAUGAUAUAUGUUUAAAAGUUGGUUUCGGCUAACACUAUGAGAUGGCUUUGCGGUGCAUUAGCUAGUUGGUGGGGUAAAGGCCUACCAAGGCGACGAUGCAUAGCCGACCUGAGAGGGUGAUCGGCCACACUGGGACUGAGACACGGCCCANACUCCUACGGGAGGNAGCAGUAGGGAAUCUUCCGCAAUGGGCGAAAGCCUGACGGAGCAACGCCGCGUGAGUGAAGAAGGAUUUCGGUUCGUAAAGCUCUGUUGUUAGGGAAGAAUGAUUGUAUAGUAACUAUAU
RNAcentral lists this ribosomal RNA (420 nucleotides) under Gemella sanguinis. RNAcentral's name for it is "bacterial SSU rRNA". It matches the Rfam family "Bacterial small subunit ribosomal RNA", at positions 63 to 469 of the family's 1533-position model. Lineage: Bacteria; Bacillati; Bacillota; Bacilli; Caryophanales; Gemellaceae. The record is from RNAcentral.